This 501-nucleotide ribosomal RNA is filed under the name uncultured bacterium. Its description in RNAcentral is "partial 16S ribosomal RNA". It matches the Rfam family "Bacterial small subunit ribosomal RNA", at positions 30 to 523 of the family's 1533-position model. The record is from RNAcentral.
AUUGAACGCUGGCGGCAGGCUUAACACAUGCAAGUCGAGCGGAGAUGAGGUGCUUGCACCUUAUCUUAGCGGCGGACGGGUGAGUAAUGCUUAGGAAUCUGCCUAUUAGUGGGGGACAACAUUCCGAAAGGAAUGCUAAUACCGCAUACGUCCUACGGGAGAAAGCAGGGGAUCUUCGGACCUUGCGCUAAUAGAUGAGCCUAAGUCGGAUUAGCUAGUUGGUGGGGUAAAGGCCUACCAAGGCGACGAUCUGUAGCGGGUCUGAGAGGAUGAUCCGCCACACUGGGACUGAGACACGGCCCAGACUCCUACGGGAGGUAGCAGUGGGGAAUAUCGGACAAUGGGGGGAACCCUGAUCCAGCCAUGCCGCGUGUGUGAAGAAGGCCUUAUGGUUGUAAAGCACUUUAAGCGAGGAGGAGGCUACUGAGACUAAUACUCUUGGAUAGUGGACGUUACUCGCAGAAUAAGCACCGGCUAACUCUGUGCCAGCCGCCGCGGUAA